UGUCAUCGGACUUGCGCAGUGGUGGGAUU
This 29-nucleotide small RNA is filed under the name Bombyx mori (domestic silkworm). RNAcentral's name for it is "ovarian small RNA-35635". The record is from RNAcentral. Lineage: Eukaryota; Metazoa; Arthropoda; Insecta; Lepidoptera; Bombycidae.